AUACGGAGGGUGCGAGCGUUAAUCGGAAUUACUGGGCGUAAAGCGUGCGUAGGCGGUUUGUUAAGUCAGAAGUGAAAGCCCUGGGCUCAACCUGGGAACGGCUUUUGAGACUGGCAGACUCGAGUUGAGUAGAGGGGAGUGGAAUUUCCGGUGUAGCGGUGAAAUGCGUAGAGAUCGGAAGGAACACCAGUGGCGAAGGCGACUCCCUGGACUCAAACUGACGCUCAGGUACGAAAGCGUGGGUAGCGAACAGGAUUAGAUACCCUAGUAGUCC
RNAcentral lists this ribosomal RNA (274 nucleotides) under uncultured bacterium. Its description in RNAcentral is "partial 16S ribosomal RNA". It matches the Rfam family "Bacterial small subunit ribosomal RNA", at positions 523 to 796 of the family's 1533-position model. The record is from RNAcentral.